Leucoraja erinaceus (little skate) is the source of this 1786-nucleotide long non-coding RNA. RefSeq lists it as uncharacterized. Lineage: Eukaryota; Metazoa; Chordata; Chondrichthyes; Rajiformes; Rajidae. The transcript is spliced from 3 exons. The record is from RefSeq and is a predicted model, not a curated record.
GAUAGGAGAAUGGAGUUAGGAGGGAGAGAUAGAUCAACCAUGAUUGAAUGUUGGAGUAGAUUUAAUAGGCCGAAUAGCCUAAUUCUGCUCCUAUCACAUGACCUUAUGACUACCUGAAUGUUAGUAAGUUACCAUAUACCUCUUUAGGGAUGUCUACAAUAACAUAAUCUACCUGUUAGAACUAUAGUUUUACCUUCAAAGCAAGAUGAGGACAGGAUUAGGAUAGCAUUGAUAGUAGCUAUCAAGGUAAAGGGCCUGUCCCACUUGCCUGAGUUAUUCACGUAUAUACAUCCAUGGAUAUAUUGUAGUGGCUCGUUAUGCCAGCCGUAGGUAAUCGGGGCUAUUUUUUUACUCGUGGACAUUUUUCAUCAGGCCAAAAAAACGUCCUGACUUACCUGAUGCCGCGAGUACCUACAGCUGGCAUAACGAGCCGCUACGAUAUAUCCACGGACUCCUACGGACCCGUUACGAGCAUUCCGCGAGUUUGAAAACUCGGGAGAAUUCGUGAAUAACUCGGGAAAGUGGGACAGGACCUUAACAAAGCCAAAUAAUUCUUAUGUUCCUUCCAGAUUGCUGCUGGAAAUGCAGUAUUGUGAUAUUUAUGUUUCAGUUAUUUAUCAAUAAAAAGUAGUAUAAUACAUAUAAUUAAAAUAUACAGAUGUGGUUGGAGGCAUUAGCAUUGUUCUAUAAAACUGAUAACAGAAAAUCUUGAGAACACAAGAAAUUGAAGUAUUUGGAAUCUGGAGCAAAACAAACUGCUGGAGGAACUCAGUGGGUCAGGCAGUAUAUGUGGAGGCAGAGGGUUGAGACCCUGCCACAUUAGAAUUUCAUACAUUUUGAAUUCUUCUAAACCAUAAUACAGAUGGGAGCAUCUUGAAUUGCUUUCUCAAGAUAACAGAUCAUGUAAUGUAUCUGUUGUUUAUUUUGUGGUUAAUGUUAUAUGUAUUGCUGUGUCAAAAUACGUUUAUGUCUAAUAUGUUUCUCCAAAAAUUAAAUCUCUUGAAGUGCCUGAGGUUGCAGAAUAUGUUCCUGAAGAAGUGAAACGAGUUACACAAAAAGAAAAGGUUGUUCCAAUAAAAGUGCCUGAGAUUCCCGAGUAUGUACCUGAAGAAGCUGAACCAGUUACACGAAAAAAAGCAAUUGUUCCUCCUGAGUUUAUUCCUGAAGAAGUGAAACCAGUUAUACGGAAAAAAGCAAUUGCUCCUCCUGAGUUUAUUCCUGAAGAAGUGAAACCCGUUAUACGGAAAAAAGCAAUUGCUCCUCCUGAGUUUAUUCCUGAAGAAAUGAAACCAGUUAUACGGAAAAAAGCAAUUGCUCCUCCUGAGUUUAUUCCUGAAGAAAUGAAACCAGUUAUACGGAAAAAAGCAAUUGCUCCUCCUGAGUUUAUUCCUGAAGAAGUGAAACCAGUUAUACGGAAAAAAGCAAUUGCUCCUCCUGAGUUUGUUUCUGAAGAAACAAAACCAGUUAUACGGGAAAAAAGCAAUUGCUCCUCCUGAGUUUAUUCCUGAAGAAGUGAAACCAGUUUUACGGAAAAAAGCAAUUGCUCCUCCUGAGUUUAUUCCUGAAGAAGUGAAACCAGUUACACGGAGAGAAGCAACUGCUCCAUUGAAAGUUCCUGAGUUUGCUGUGGAAGAAGUGAGAUCAGUUACACAAAUAGAAACGGUUACUACAAUAACAGGUACAAAAGACAGCACAUGCUUUAUAGUAGAAUAAUUCCUUGUACAAUCAUCAUUAUCUUUGAUGAAAGAGUUUCUUUUUAUGUGUGUCAUAAUACAGAUGUCCUGAU